AGCUACACAACUGUACGAACCAGCACAAUGAAGGAAUACAGAAAGAGAAUGAAGGGCCAUACAAAAAGUCAGGGGCGAACUUUGGAGACCAGAGAUCCGAGCAGCAAGAAACGAUGCUUAAGAUCUACAAAUACUGCAGGUAAUUUAGGUAGCUCAGGACUGGGAAAGGGAAAACAACGCACAAAACAUGGAAUUACUUCCUGCCCACUGCCCCGUCAACUCCAACUCCGACAAGAUUUCCUGCCAAAAAGUCUGAAUUCAAGAGAAACUGCACCACGAAAUUUUAAAGGUUACAAUAGAGAAUUUUUACUUAAAACAGAUGAUGAUCGGAUUGUGAAGUUUGAGGAAGGGGGAACCUCUGUAACUUACAUGUCGGAAAAAGAAGGUAAAUUCUAUGUUGAAUGUGACAAUGAGAGAGACUGGUUGC
RNAcentral lists this long non-coding RNA (427 nucleotides) under Salvator merianae (Argentine black and white tegu). RNAcentral's name for it is "lncRNA (ENSSMRG00000012351.1)". Lineage: Eukaryota; Metazoa; Chordata; Lepidosauria; Squamata; Teiidae. The record is from RNAcentral.